UUAUGGCUCAGAACGAACGCUGGCGGCAUGGAUUAGGCAUGCAAGUCGAACGGUGCAGCAAUGCAUAGUGGCGCAAGGGUGAGGAACGCGUGAGUAACCUGCCCUCAAGUUGGGAACAGCUUCUGGAAACGGAAAUUAAUACCGAAUGUGACCAUUAGGAGGCAUCUCUUAAGGGUUAAAGGCCGCAAGGUCGCUUGAGGAGGGGGCUCGCGUCCCAUUAUGCUAGUUGGUGAGGUAAUGGCCCACCAAGGCGAAGAUGGGUAGCUGGUCUGAGAGGACGAUCAGCCACACUGGGACUGAGAACUGCCCAGACUCCUACGGGAGGCUGCAGUCGAGAAUUUUGGGCAAUGGACGAAAGUCUGACCCAAGCAAUGCCGCGUGCGGGAUGAAGGUCUUCGGAUUGUAAACCGCUGUCAAGUGGGACGAAACAAAUGACGGUACCGCUGAAGGAAGUCACGGCUAACUACGUGCCAGCCGCAGC
Molecule: ribosomal RNA, 481 nt
Filed under: uncultured bacterium
Lineage: Bacteria
Description: bacterial SSU rRNA
Rfam family: Bacterial small subunit ribosomal RNA
Source: RNAcentral